CUAAAUAUUCUAAAUUCUAAUUCUAAACACAAGGACACCAGUAUGGGUUAAGCCAGAGAGCUUCCGAAAAGGGGAAAUCCCACCUAUGUUUACCUAACCAAAUCACUCAUUUCUGCUCAAAAUAUCAAAAAGAAAUUUUACAGAAAUUCUCUUAGAUGACCUUACAUUCACAUUAUAGCAAAAAAAUGGGGAAAAAUUCAAAGGAAAGGCAAAAAAAAAAAUUUAAGAAAAAAUAUAUUGAAAUUAAAGGGAACUAUAUUUGUGAACGAAAAUUGACAACGAAAAUUGAAGGGGGAUAAUUGUGUUCCCGGACCAGUACUAACAACACAAUUCAUUAACAAAAAUAAGAUAAUCCGAUCAAUUUUGUCGAUUCAGGGACUUUCCUGCUUGGUUGGAUAAUAAACGGC
RNAcentral lists this long non-coding RNA (407 nucleotides) under Mytilus galloprovincialis (Mediterranean mussel). Lineage: Eukaryota; Metazoa; Mollusca; Bivalvia; Mytilida; Mytilidae. The record is from RNAcentral.